Molecule: ribosomal RNA, 253 nt
Filed under: uncultured bacterium
Lineage: Bacteria
Description: partial 16S ribosomal RNA
Rfam family: Bacterial small subunit ribosomal RNA
Source: RNAcentral
GACGAGGGGUGCAAACGUUAUUCGGAAUGAUUGGGCGUAAAGGGUGCGCAGGCGGCACGCUAAGUCAACUGUUAAAUUCCCCAGCCUAACUGGGGGCAUGCAGUAGAAACUGGUGUGCUAGAGGAUGGAAGAGAGAAGUGGAAUUCUCGGAGUAGCGGUAAAAUGCGUAGAUCUCGAGAGGAACACCGAUGGCGAAGGCAGCUUCUUGGUCCAUUUCUGACGCUCAUGCACGAAAGCGUGGGGAGCAAACAGG